GCCUCGCCUCGCCUCGCCUCGCCAAGCGCCUUUUCUCACCUUUAAUAACACUGCCUUAAAUAGGGCCAGAUUGGACUUUUGAGAUGCUGCUAUGUUCAAGGCUUUGUUAGGUUGGCUUUGGAGAUUCUAUAUGAAGAGGAUAGGCUAGAGAGAUAAGCUAUAAAGGCUGCAUACAAUAAUGGGGACAUUUCAUUGGUGCAUCAAAAUUAAAACUGUUAGUUCAUUUCCCAGUACAAUGGCUUAUAGAAGGCCAUUAGGAAUGAGAGGAAUGAUUACUUCAUUUUUUAUUUUGACUCAGACAGUUCAAGCCUCAUUUUUAGGACUUGGAGAGGGGUGAUAUCAACCUCAAGGAGGCCUUUCCUUCACUACAUGAUGCAGCUUAUGAUAAAAAGGCUUUGUAAGAGGCUACCUUUUUUUUUUU
RNAcentral lists this unclassified non-coding RNA (421 nucleotides) under Hevea brasiliensis (rubber tree). The record is from RNAcentral. Lineage: Eukaryota; Viridiplantae; Streptophyta; Magnoliopsida; Malpighiales; Euphorbiaceae.